This 1998-nucleotide ribosomal RNA is filed under the name Flavobacteriaceae bacterium. RNAcentral's name for it is "partial 23S ribosomal RNA". It matches the Rfam family "Bacterial large subunit ribosomal RNA", at positions 1 to 2068 of the family's 2925-position model. Lineage: Bacteria; Pseudomonadati; Bacteroidota; Flavobacteriia; Flavobacteriales; Flavobacteriaceae. The record is from RNAcentral.
CAAUAGGCUAAUUAAGAGCGUAAGGGGAAUGCCUUGGCUCUCAGAGGCGAUGAAGGACGUGAUAAGCUGCGAUAAGCUUUGGGGAGUGGCACAAACACUUUGAUCCGAAGAUUUCCGAAUGGGGCAACCCGGCAUAUUGAAGAUAUGUCACACUGUAAAGUGAGCAAACCUGGUGAACUGAAACAUCUAAGUAACCAGAGGAAUAGAAAACAAAAGUGAUUCCGCUAGUAGUGGCGAGCGAACGCGGAACAGCCCAAACCUAUGUUGUUACGGCAAUAUAGGGGUUGUAGGACCUCAACAUUUAAUGCUAAAAGAACUAGAAUUUACUGGAAAGUAAAACCAUAGAAGGUGAUAGUCCCGUAUAGGUAAUUGAUGUAAUUAAUAGAGGUAUCCUGAGUAGUACGGGGCACGUGAAACCUUGUAUGAAACUGCCGGGACCAUCCGGUAAGGCUAAAUACUCCUGAGAGACCGAUAGUGAACUAGUACCGUGAGGGAAAGGUUAAAAGAACCCUGAAUAAGGGAGUGAAAUAGAUCCUGAAACCUUACGCUUACAAGCGGUCGGAGCACAAUUAAUGUGUGACGGCGUGCCUUUUGCAUAAUGAGCCUACGAGUUACCUUUGCUAGCAUGGCUAAUCCGUUAAGCGGAGCAACCGAAGCGAAAGCGAGUCUGAAUAGGGCGUUUAGUUAGCAGUGGUAGACGCGAAACCUAGUGAUCUAUCCAUGGGCAGGUUGAAGCUGUAGUAACAUACAGUGGAGGACCGAACCCGUUGACGUUGAAAAGUCUUGGGAUGACCUGUGGAUAGGGGUGAAAGGCCAAUCAAACUAGGAAAUAGCUCGUACUCCCCGAAAUGCAUUUAGGUGCAGCGUUAAAAUAAGUUUCAUAGAGGUAGAGCUACUGAUUGGAUGCGGGGGUUUCACCACCUACCAAUUCCUGACAAACUCCGAAUGCUAUGAAAUGUUUUUUAGCAGUGAGGGCAUGGGUGCUAAGGUCCAUGUCCGAGAGGGAAACAACCCAGAUCAUCAGUUAAGGUCCCAAAGUAUAUACUAAGUUGAAUAAACGAGGUUUGACUGCCCAGACAGCUAGGAUGUUGGCUUGGAAGCAGCCAUUCAUUUAAAGAGUGCGUAACAGCUCACUAGUCGAGCGGUCGAGCAUGGAUAAUAAUCGGGCAUAAGUAUAUCACCGAAACUAUGGCAAUAUUUAUAUUGGGUAGGGGAGCAUUCUAUUCUACGUUGAAGGUAAACUGUGAGGUUUGCUGGAGUGUAUAGAAACGAAAAUGUAGGCAUAAGUAACGAUUAGGGGUGCGAGAAACACCCCCUCCGAAAAACUCAGGUUUCCUCAGCUAUGCUAAUCAGCUGAGGGUUAGUCAGGACCUAACGCGAACCCAAAUGGGGUAGUGGAUGGACAACCAGUUAAUAUUCUGGUACCUGCAUAGCAACAAAAGUGACGGAAAAGCAAUGUCAUUGCGUACUGACAGAAUAGUACGUUGAAAUCACUGUUAAGGUGAUGAUAGUACACCGAUCCUUCGGGUGAGGUGAUAAUAUGACGGACCUUUUUCCAAGAAAAACAAGCUAUGCAGCCUGUACUGUAAACCGACACAGGUAGUUGGGAUGAGGAUUCUAAGGAGCUCGAGAGAUUCAUGGCUAAGGAACUAGGCAAAUUUGACCCGUAACUUCGGGAGAAGGGUCGCCUACUUUUAGUAGGCCGCAGUGAAAAGGUCCAAGCGACUGUUUAUCAAAAACACAGGACUCUGCUAAGUCGAAAGACGAUGUAUAGGGUCUGACACCUGCCCGGUGCUGGAAGGUUAAGUGGAGAUGUUAGCAUUUAUUUGCAAAGCAUUGAAAUGAAGCCCCAGUAAACGGCGGCCGUAACUAUAACGGUCCUAAGGUAGCGAAAUUCCUUGUCGGGUAAGUUCCGACCUGCACGAAUGGUGUAACGAUUUGGACACUGUCUCAGCCAUGAGCUCGGUGAAAUUGUAGUAGCGGUGAAGAUGCCGCUUA